RNAcentral lists this ribosomal RNA (488 nucleotides) under uncultured bacterium. Its description in RNAcentral is "partial 16S ribosomal RNA". It matches the Rfam family "Bacterial small subunit ribosomal RNA", at positions 28 to 507 of the family's 1533-position model. The record is from RNAcentral.
GACGAACGCUGGCGGCGUGCUUAACACAUGCAAGUCGAACGGAAAGGCCCUGCGUUUGUGGGGUGCUCGAUUGGCGAACGGGGGAGUAACACGUGAGUAACCUGCCCUUGACUUAGGGAGAACAUCAGGAGACAGGGGCUAAUACCGCAGAGGAUCUCCUGCUGCACGGUGGGGGUUGGAAAGAGUCGGCUUUUGGGGAUGGACUAGCGGCGUAUCAGCUGGUUGAUAGGGUAGUGGGUGACCAAGGCUUUGACGGGUAGCCGACCGGAGAGGGUGAUCGGCCACAUUGGAACUGGGACACGCUCCAGACUCCUACGGGAGGCAGCAGUAGCGAAUCUGCCGCAACAGGCGGAAGCCUUACGGAGCAACGCCACGUGAGUUAUGAAAGUCUUCGGUGCGUGAUGCUGUGCUUUGAGGUAAGAACCAAUUUGUAAUGUGCCAUGCACUUCGUGACGGUACUGGGUCAGAAAGCCACGGCUAACUACGUG